Non-coding RNA from Stegodyphus mimosarum, 68 nucleotides. The record is from Rfam. Lineage: Eukaryota; Metazoa; Arthropoda; Arachnida; Araneae; Eresidae.
AAAAUGGCUUUUUUUUUUGGCUGACAUUUUGCACCUAAAGCCACUAAAGUUUUACAACAAAUUGCCUU